Long non-coding RNA from Mauremys reevesii (Reeves's turtle), 1765 nucleotides. RefSeq lists it as uncharacterized. NCBI's taxonomy places the organism in Eukaryota, Metazoa, Chordata, Testudines, Geoemydidae. The record is from RefSeq and is a predicted model, not a curated record. The transcript has 4 exons.
UGCUGCACUUGCAGAGGAAUUGUCCAGGAGCAGCAGCCGGAGGAAAAAUUGGCAGACGUGGGCCUGAGGAGCCUGGACAUUCUUCUAAGGAGACAUGAACAGUCCUCAGCUUUCUGCCUCGUGCAUAACUGGCUGUGGGUUUGGUGUGUCUGACCAGAGUCAUCUGUGCAGAGUGACUAUUUCAGGUGUCGUCGCAAGGGGGGCUUUCUACUUGUAGUCCUAAAGUACUAAGGGAAAAGAAGUGACAAGUCAGAGUCUACUGCCCUCAUGCGAUGGAAAGCGAGCGAGAGUGAUGGGACUGUGAGAAUUAUUGAUGCCUUGAAAAAGCGGUCCAACUGGGAAUGGACCAGUCAUCACUGUCAAUGAGAUAAGUGUCUGUUUUGGUGAUUGCUCUGCUCACGGCCCACCUUGCUCCUGAAAGGGAUGCCCUGUUUGCUGAGGCUGUGUUUGUAAGAAAAGGUUCCUGACUAGCUGUGGUUUUGAGAGAGAGAGAAGAUCGCCAUUUUUAGGGGCUGCUCAGUUUUCUGGCCAGGAGCAGUGUGUCCUACGCAGCAGAAGGUUGCAUCUAGGAGAAUGAGCCCACGUGGUGAAUUGCUUGCCUUUCUCUCCUGUUUCUCUCUCUCUCUCCCCUGUAGUGUGUUGGUCAACACUCUUUCUCAAUCUGUCCUUGCCUUUCCUUGUGCUGUCUCCCUUCUUAGGAUAUCGGCAGGCGAGCUAGGUGUGCAUCCCCACAGGUUGUCUUGGGAGCCAUAAAGAAGUAGGAGGGGACGAAAAUCAUGCAGGGCAGUCGGUGCGAGACUGGAGCGGUGACUGUUGGUGUUGUGGGGCUAAGACAGAUUGAAAGUGAAGCAGGGAAGAGGGCCUUAAUUGGGCUCUAUGUAGUGCAGGAGUUCUCAAACUGGGGUUUAGGUCCCGUCGGGGCCGCAAGGUUGUUAUUUGGGGGGUUGUGAAAUGUCAUCCUCCAUCCUAAACAUCACUUGGCUUCCAGCAUUUAUAAUGGUGUUGAAUGUACAAAAAGUCUUUUUAAUUUAUAAGAGGUGGGUCACACGUAGAAGCUUUCUAUGUAAAAGGGAUCAUCAGUACAAAAGGUUGAGAACCACUGGUGUAGUGAUAGUUCUUGCUUGCCUUUAUUAGUUUGCAGAGGAAUUGUCCAGGAGUCUCAGUUGGAGAAGAAGCUGUCAGAAGUGGACCUGAACUGCCUGGACAUCCUUCUAAGGAGACAUGAACAGUCCUCAGCUUUCUGCCUUCUGAACAACUGGUUGUGAGUAAGAGUACUAAGGAAAAAUGUCACAUGUCAGAGUCUACUGCCCUCAUGCAAUGGAAAGUGAGUGAGAGCAGCGAGCCUGUGAGCAUUGUUCAUGCCAGACAAGAGCCGUUCAUUUGGGAGCCCAGCAGAUGCCACUGUCAGUGAGAUAAGUGUCUGUUUUGCUGAGGGUUCUGUUAACAGCCCAUCUGACUCCAGGUACAGACACCCUGUUAGUUAGGGCUGGUUUGUCAGAGUUUCCUGACUAGCUGGGGAUACAAGGGAGACAAGGUCCCCAUUUUCAGGGGCUUGUCAUUUCUCUGUUCACAAGCAGUGUGUCCUCUGUAGGAGAAGGUUGGAUCCAGGAGGAUGACUCCAGAUGGUGAGUUACUUGCCUUUCUCCUGUGUUUCUCUCUCUUCUCUAGUGUGUUGGCCAACACUCUUUCUCUCUCUGUCUCUGUCCUUGCCUCUCCUUGUGCUGUCUCCCUUAAUAGAACAGGGGCAGGAGUGCUAGGUGUGCAU